This 387-nucleotide ribosomal RNA is filed under the name unidentified archaeon. RNAcentral describes it as "bacterial SSU rRNA". It matches the Rfam family "Archaeal small subunit ribosomal RNA", at positions 93 to 461 of the family's 1478-position model. The record is from RNAcentral.
GUAACACGUAGUCAAACAUAACCAAAGGACGUGGAUAAACUCGGGAAANCUGACGGCUAAAACGACGAUACGUUCAAGAUACCUGGAAUGGUUAUAUGAUCAAAAUCUAUAUGGCCUUUGGAUUGGACUGCGUCCGAUCAGGCUGUAUGGUGAGGUAAUGGACCACCAAACCUAUAACCGGUACAGGGCUCUGAGAGGAGGAGCCCGGAGAUGGGUACUGAGAUAAGAGACCCAGGACCUAUGGGGCGCAGCAGGCAGACGAAACCUCUGCAAUAGGCGAAAGCUUGACAGGGUUACUCUAGAGUGACUUAUCGAUAUAAGAAAGUACUUAAAGACAACUCUAAACAAUGGUGUAGGAAUAAGGGGUGGAGACAAGUAUGGUGACAG